CUACGGGUUGCUGCAGUGAGGAAUUUUGCGCAAUGGGGGGAACCCUGACGCAGCAACGCCGCGUGAGUGAAGAAGGCCUUUGGGUCGUAAAGCUCUGUCAACAGGGAAGAAGUUAUUUCAUAUGAAUAGUGUGAGAUAUUGACGGUACCUGUGAAGGAAGCAUCGGCUAACUCCGUGCCAGCAGCCGCGGUAAUACGGGGGAUGCAAGCGUUAUUCGGAAUUAUUGGGCGUAAAGGGCACGCAGGCGGCCUUGUCAGUCAGAUGUGAAAGCCCGGGGCUCAACCCCGGACGUGCAUUUGAACAGCAAGGCUUGAGUACGGUAGAGGGAAGGGGAAUUCCUGGUGUAGAGGUGAAAUUCGUAGAUAUCAGGAGGAACACCGGUGGCGAAGGCGCCUUCCUGGGCCUGUACUGACGCUGAGGUGCGAAGGCGUGGGUAGCGAACAGGAUUAGAUACCCGAGUAGUC
RNAcentral lists this ribosomal RNA (464 nucleotides) under uncultured bacterium. Its description in RNAcentral is "partial 16S ribosomal RNA". It matches the Rfam family "Bacterial small subunit ribosomal RNA", at positions 339 to 795 of the family's 1533-position model. The record is from RNAcentral.